GACGAACGCUGGCGGCGUGCUUAACACAUGCAAGUCGAACGGAAAGGCCCUGCUCUUGUGGGGUGCUCGAGUGGCGAACGGGUGAGUAACACGUGAGUAACCUGCCCUUGACUUUGGGAUAACUUCAGGAAACUGGGGCUAAUACCGGAUAGGAGCUCCUGCUGCAUGGUGGGGGUUGGAAAGUUUCGGCGGUUGGGGAUGGACUCGCGGCUUAUCAGCUUGUUGGUGGGGUAGUGGCUUACCAAGGCUUUGACGGGUAGCCGGCCUGGGAGGGUGACCGGCCACAUUGGGACUGAGAUACGGCCCAGACUCCUACGGGAGGCAGCAGUGGGGAAUCUUGCGCAAUGGGCGGAAGCCUGAUGCAGCAACGCCGCGUGCGUGAUGACGGCUUUCGGGUUGUAAACCGCUUUCGCCUGUGACGAAGCGUGAGUGACGGUAAUGGGUAAAGAAGCACCGGCUAACUACGUG
This 468-nucleotide ribosomal RNA is filed under the name uncultured bacterium. Its description in RNAcentral is "partial 16S ribosomal RNA". It matches the Rfam family "Bacterial small subunit ribosomal RNA", at positions 28 to 507 of the family's 1533-position model. The record is from RNAcentral.